Molecule: ribosomal RNA, 1033 nt
Filed under: human gut metagenome
Description: bacterial SSU rRNA
Rfam family: Bacterial small subunit ribosomal RNA
Source: RNAcentral
UCGGCAAUGGGGGAAACCCUGACCGAGCAACGCCGCGUGAAUGAUGAAGGUCUUCGGAUUGUAAAAUUCUGUGGUAAGAGAAGAAAGAUAUAAAGAGGAAAUGCUUUGUAUUUGACGGUAUCUUGCUAGAAAGCCACGGCUAACUACGUGCCAGCAGCCGCGGUAAUACGUAGGUGGCAAGCGUUAUCCGGAAUUACUGGGCGUAAAGAGUGAGCAGGCGGUUAGAUAAGUCUAUGGUUAAAUGCAACAGCUCAACUGUUGUUCGCUAUAGAAACUAUUUAACUAGAGUGCGGGAGAGGUAAGUGGAACUCCAUAUGUAGCGGUGGAAUGCUUAGAUAUAUGGAAGAACACCAGAGGCGAAGGCGGCUUACCAGUCCGUAACUGACGCUCAGUCACGAAAGCGUGGGGAGCAAAUAGGAUUAGAUAUCCUAGUAGUCCACGCCGUAAACGAUGAGAACCUGAUGCAGGAGAUAUUCUGUGUCGAAGCUAACGCGUUAAGUUCUCCGCCUGGGUACUACGUUCGCAAGAAUAAAACUUAAAGGAAUUGACGGGCGCCCGCACAAGCAGUGGAGCAUGGGGUUUAAUUCGUCGAUACACGAAAAACCUUACCAGGGCUUGACAUCCCGCUAAAAGCCUUAGAAAUAAGGAAAUAGUUAUAGCGGUGACAGGUGGUGCAUGGUUGUCGUCAGCUCGUGCCGUGAGGUGUUAGGUUAAGUCCUCAAACGAGCGCAACCCUUGUCUUUAGUUGCCAUUAUUAAUUUAGGAACUCUAGAGAGACUGCCGGCGCAAGCCGGAGGAAGGCGGGGAUGACGUCAAAUCAUCAUGCCCUUUAUGCCCUGGGCCACACCCGUGCUACAAUGGUCGGUACAAAGAGAAGCAACACUGUGAGGUGAAGCAAAUCCCAUAAAGCCGAUCUCAAUUCGGAUUGAAGUCUGCAACUCGACUUCAUGAAGCUGGAAUUGCUAGUAAUCGCAGAUCAGCAACGCUGCGGUGAAUACGUUCUCGGGCGUUGUACACACUGCCCGUCACACCA